This 301-nucleotide ribosomal RNA is filed under the name uncultured bacterium. Its description in RNAcentral is "partial 16S ribosomal RNA". It matches the Rfam family "Bacterial small subunit ribosomal RNA", at positions 509 to 809 of the family's 1533-position model. The record is from RNAcentral.
CAGUAGCCGCGGUAAUACGAAGGGGGCUAGCGUUGUUCGGAUUUACUGGGCGUAAAGGGCGCGUAGGCGGACUGAUAAGUCAGUGGUGAAAUCCCAAGGCUCAACCUUGGAACUGCCUUUGAUACUGUUUGUCUUGAGUUCGAGAGAGGUAAGUGGAACUGCGAGUGUAGAGGUGAAAUUCGUAGAUAUUCGCAAGAACACCAGUGGCGAAGGCGGCUUACUGGCUCGAAACUGACGCUGAGGCGCGAAAGCGUGGGGAGCAAACAGGAUUAGAUACCCGCGUAGUCCCUGUCUCUUAUAA